CAAGGUACUUACUAAAUGCAUUGAUAAAAAAAAAAAAAAGAACUAAACAAAAUCUGGUGAAGAAGGUGAACCGACCAGACAAAAUUUGGAAUUCUCAAAAAAUUUCCGAGCAUGGAAAUUCCUUGUGCAGAUCCUUGCGCUGAUUUAUUCUUGAUAUACAAAAUGAAGUGUUUUUAUACCUAGUGAUGACCUGGCAAAUGAGGUACUUGCAGCUUUAGAGGUAAGUGGUGAAAAACUUUGGUGGAUGUCCCUGGAAGAAAGUUACUGGGAGUUCAUGAAAUCUGGAGUGGCUGAUAUGGUUAACACCGGUAGUUGUCAAGGCGGUUCCAUGAUUGCAGCUCUUUUCUUGAAGCAGGUACAGCUUCCCCUAUCCCCACAACCCUUUCUUCCUUGUUGAAUCAGCAUUUUGACAAUAUUAAGUUUGUUUUACCUGAUGUGCAUUUGGUGUAUACUAAAGUAGCUUUUUACUGAACCAUUUUGAAAAUUCCAGAAUAGUUGUAAAUCUAAUGGCCUAAUUUGUAGUUUGGAAUGGUUCUAAUGGCAAGUAGGUAGAUUUCAAAUCUAGAAAAUUGGCAAUUUGGAAGGGGCUUCAAAUGUUGGACCGAUGGGGCUUAUUUCUGAUGGCAAAAAAUAAAAAACAAAAUGUUCCUUUUGUCAGAAGAAAUCGCCUAUUUGAAUAUGGAAAAAUUGGGUGCUAACAUGUAUCUUUGUAUUGGCUAAGUUCACAAACUGGAGAUACAUGGGUAGUUGUGGGAGUUUAGUUUUUGUGUGUGUCGGAACACAGAUUACGUUGGUAUCACAAUGACUGUUGCUCACUUGAAGGCAUUUGUGUCAAAUUUGAACUGAGAGAGGUGAUAAAUUAGUAGGCAAACUAACACUCCAAAUGGUGAAAGAAUUGCCCCCACUCUAUCUCGAUUGGAUCAAUAAGGGAUUUUUUUUGUGGACCACUGUCUCACACAUUUACCUCUUACAAAGCUUGGCAGCAUUGAACUCUCUCCUGUGUCCUCUAAUUUUCUUCUACAUCAUCCUUCUUCUUCGAACACACCUAGCAGCAAUGGACUCUCUUAUUUAUCCUUCUGCAGAUUUCGUCCAACCUGGGGUAAAAGCAAGUAUUGACAUUAAAAUAUACCCAUUUUCUUAUAAAGUCUAUUUACACUUCUAUUAUUUUCAAUCCAAUUUUGAAAUCUCUCCACAACCCUCCAAAAUUGAUCUUGGGAAAUUUUGAGAAUCUGAAAAAAUCGAGACCACCAUUUUCGUGCUGUCUACAAAUUGAAUGUUGAGGCAAUUAGUUUCAACAUAAGUCGCUUCUCAACCGCAAGGCCAAGGAAUGCGCCGCCGCGAAUAAAGAUAAAGGCAACAAAUUCACCACCGAGGACAUCAUGCAUACUGUUGAUUAGUCGGGUACUUCUCGGCUACUUUGGAAUUUUUGAGUUUAUUGUUGUUUCUGACAUUAAAUAUUGCAUCUUAAUUACAGGAAGAGAGAAACUAUGUUUGUGCUCCUAUUUUUUUGGUAUUUUGAUGGAUUGAUGGGUUUUGAUUUUAAUUUUGUUAUAUUCAAUGGUGAUGGUUACAAAUCAUGAUAUUGAAUUAAUUAGUAUAAUCUGUGUGCUCGCUUCUAUAAUUAUUACUUAAGAUAUUUGUGAUAGUUAAAAAUCUCAUUAUUAGGUAGGACUGGGUAACUGUGUCAUAUUUUGGCAAAUGAUUUGAUUAGCUUUGUGAAUAAGUGGUUGUGCUUAACAUUUGUAUUGAGUAACGCUUAACAAAUUGUUGAAAUAUUAACUUUUUGGUCCUGAUAAUGUAAUAUUAAAAUCGUUUUAGGUUAAUUACUGAUGUUAAUAAUUGAAAUGAAUGUUAUUUAUGAAUUUGUUCUUGGAAAAAAAUUUGAUGGAAUUACAAAUUGAAAUAUAUUUGUACUAUUGGUGUUUAUAUUGGAGAGAAACUUUGACUGAUAUAUACAAUGAAUUGGAAUUGAUUUUGAUAAAUAUUGUUUGUUCGGUGAAUCGUCGAACUUGAGAUUGUUUUGCACAUUUUGUGUUUAUGAUAAUUAAAUAUCAACUCUAGCUUCUCUUCAAACUUGUACAUGAGGAGUUACAUAUGACGUGUCAAAAAGAGAAUAAGAAUCUUUUUUUUUUUGACGAAAUUCGGACCGAACCAUAUCUAACCACAACAUGUGUACGUAAAUCAUUAUGUAAAUCACUAGAUACAUUCUUUUGCACACUAGUAGUACCAACAAUUUUGUAAUCAUCACUUUUAUGGUGCCGAUAUGUUUUAGUGUGUGUGAUUCGUGACAUUGCAUUUUACAUUUUUGGUGUCUGAAGUGCUUUUAGAUUCAAGAUUUUGCCAAAGGAAAGAGUAUAUGCCAUUUUAUUAUUGAAUUUAAAAUUACCAAAUUGUUCCAUAAAACUCUUAUGCAAUAAGUUGUUUGAGACAACAUUUGAAUCAAUAAUAAUUCAGUAUGUUUAGCAAAAUUUUGUCUGCAAUAUGAGUAUUUGAUAAACAAUCAUCUAUUUUCUUCGAAAAUUAUAGGACAUCAAUUGCUCUAUUUAUUUCAUUUGGUAAAUGGCACCUUUUGAGUGUAAUCUCCAAAUGUAAAUUAUCUCCAAUAACUGUACAAACAUCCAUAUGUUUUUUUAUACCCUCAAAUGAUGAGGUAUGUCGAUUCGAGAUGUGCUUUAGUUUAGAGUGCAUGAUUUUGUUAUCUUUUUCCCUCAAUUCUUUUAUCUACAUAAAGUCUUAUGCCAAUAUUUAUGUUGGGCUUGAUUGAAUUCUUUCUUAGUUUAGGGUUUUUUCAUUUUGCACUUGUAAAGAUUAUUUGGGCUUAAAGGUUUGAGCUAUGUUUCAUUUGCGUAUCCUUGUGAUUGAACAGAAAAUAUUGUGCAUUAACAACAUUCUAUUGCUUCAGUAAUAUUUUUUGCACUCAUGUUUCAUUUUGAAUUGGAGUAUAUUCUUCAUAGAUGGCUCUUGGAGGACUGGUUCAAUCGCUCUCUUCGGUAAUUAUGUUAUUUUUAUUUUCUCAUGUGUUUGUUCCCCAUUUGUUAUGAUUCAGUGGCUUUGAUUUUAACUAAAAAAGAGCAAAGGAAGCUUCUAAGGCUCAAUGAUGAUUCAUUCAUUUUUUUUUAAUCAUUUCUCAUAUUUUUUUAUAUUUCUUUAUCUUUUAUUCUUUUGUGUUUGUUUCAUUGAUUUUGAAGAUAAAAUGUUCCCUCAAAUUUGAGGGUACAAGUGUAACAUGUAGAAAUGAAAAUUUUGAUCAGAAUCUUGUUUUCGUGAAUGGUAUAUUAGUUGAGGGGUGCAUGAUUGUAGCUUGGAAUAGCAAAUAACGUUAUUGUAUAACAUAUGGAUAACCGCGAUAUCUUAAUUUAAUCCCCUUUGAUGAGCUAACUAUUUUGGUGUAAUACCGAAAUCAUUAUCAUAUAGAUUUUAUUAGUUUAUGAUGCGCUUGUUGGAAGCAUUUUGUAGAUUCUUUCAUGCCUUUUUUCAGUGUGCAACUUGUGUUUCAACACUCAAUUUGAAAAGUAAUUGACCUAAAAAGUUAAUGGAAAAAUAUUUGUGCUGAAAGGAGUAGUAAACAAUGAAGGCAAAGCAGGAAUGGCAACUUUUUCUACUUUAGAACGUCGAAUGCGGACUGAAAUUGUACAAGCUAGAAACAUAGGUAUACUUACAUUCUUCCAUAAAAGCAAUCAAAAAUUGCAUGAUUUUUCUAAUCCUGACUAUGGAAUUGUAUUGGCAUAUUUGAUAUAACUGAACUAAUCUUUGGCUUAGCAUAAUGCUUCUGACAUAUGUCUAUUGUUCGCAUCUCUCACCCUUGUUUGAUAUCAAUAACGUUCAAGUGAUCAAUUCUAGACGCGAUGCUUCGAACUUUUCGAGUUGAGGUCAUCAUCCGGAGAACAUCCAUAACCACUCCAUUUGGAGCCUCGCAUUUCAAUUUACCAGGUGAGAAUGACACUUUCUUCCAUUUCUUUUUGGGUUAGACACAUUUGACGAACAUGCGUUUCAACAAGUUUUGAACCUAUGCUAGUUGUGGUCAACUAUGCACACAUAAACACAUCCAUUACACAUUUCUUAUCAUGUUUGUCAUAUAACCCGACCCUUUUUGCUCCGAAAAAUUAAUACAUCUGCACAGUCAGUUUUAGUGACUCAUGCAACGCAUUGGGUAUGGUUCAAAUGAUUCUUCACACAAGAAUUACACACUCGUAGUGGUAUACAUGUCAAAAUUAUAUUGUUUCUGUUUUCACUUCAGUUGCACAACUCACUUUAGCAGGAAGAUAAAAUCGAGGUGAACUGUCGUUUCUGACAGUUAGCCUCAGCCAUUCACGACAAUUGGCCUCUCCAAUCAUUUGUGGAGAUUAGCUGUCGGUAUCGACAGAUGAACUAUCCAUACCUACGGUUUAUGUCAGUUUUCCAUGACAUCUGUACUCUUGCACAUAUCUUCAUUUUGUUUAUCAUCCGUGUCGAUAUUUGUACCCUUACAUAUAUGCUUGGCGUCAACAUGUUGACUACCAGUUCAUUUUUUGUACGUCAUAUUAUGCUUAAUCUGUUGAUUAUGUGUUACGUUAUGUGUUACAUGAUGAUCUAAUCACUCAUUUUGUUGUAGUACCUUAUAAGACAAAUGGAGUUUGAAUUCCUCGUUCUAGAAAAUGCUGGGUUUCAGGCUCACAUUUGGCAACGGAGCAACUUAAAGUAUGUGAAGACAGUCCUGGAGCACUUCGACAAUAGACAAGUCGACGACUUCCGAAAUUCAUGCCUCGAGUUCUUCGUCGAGGUGCUUGACAUACAAUUCUCUGCCUAGCUCAUCCAACAGCUGGUGUUUAGAUCCCUUAGCACUGAUAAGACAAACGAGGUGUAGUUCAACGUACAAGGGCACAUGACAAAGUUUAGACUGUAUGAGUAUGCACUCGUAAUGGAGGCGGUGUGACCACAAAGAGGCUUUGAUCGGUACGCCUUCGACGUCCAGCACUUGCUACAAGGACUCCGUACACGAGGGAGAGGCAAAAAAGAAUGAAGAAAUAAGUGUAUUGCCAUUCGUGUUAACAGUUUUUUGAUUUUGCUUAGUCGGUGAGACUAGUACGCUAUUUGCUUUAGGCAUUUCGGGUAGUGAUGAUGGUUAUGUAAUGUAGUCAAGCCACUGUGAUUGUUUUUGGGUGACAUUGUUUUGAGGCAUCAAGGAAAAGAAUUUUGUUGUGGUCCUGAAUAAUUCAUUGUGACAAAAAGGGUAACAUUUUUCACCAUUGUGCUUAAGAGC
Molecule: long non-coding RNA, 5239 nt
Filed under: Olea europaea subsp. europaea
Lineage: Eukaryota; Viridiplantae; Streptophyta; Magnoliopsida; Lamiales; Oleaceae
Source: RNAcentral